ACCGCUUGAAACUCAAAGGACUUGGCGGUGCUUCACACCCCCCUAGAGGAGCCUGUCCCAUAAUCGAUAAACCCCGAUCCACCCCACCCUCUCUUGCUCAGCCUAUAUACCGCCAUCUUCAGCGAACCCUGAUAAAGGUUAACAAAGUGAGCGUAAGUGCCCCUUUUCGCAAAAACGUUAGGUCAAGGUGUAGCCUAUGAGAUGGAAA
RNAcentral lists this ribosomal RNA (208 nucleotides) under Chlorocebus tantalus budgetti. Its description in RNAcentral is "partial 12S ribosomal RNA". Lineage: Eukaryota; Metazoa; Chordata; Mammalia; Primates; Cercopithecidae. The record is from RNAcentral.